GAAGCCCCAGUAAACGGCGGCCGUAACUAUAACGGUCCUAAGGUAGCGAAAUUCCUUGUCGGGUAAGUUCCGACCUGCACGAAUGGCAUAAUGAUGGCCAGGCUGUCUCCACCCGAGACUCAGUGAAAUUGAAAUCGCCGUGAAGAUGCGGUGUACCCGCGGCUAGACGGAAAGACCCCGUGAACCUUUACUAUAGCUUGACACUGAACAUUGAAUUUUGAUGUGUAGGAUAGGUGGGAGACUUUGAAGUAGUCACGCCAGUGAUUAUGGAGUCGUCCUUGAAAUACCACCCUUUAACGUUUGAUGUUCUAACGAAGAUUACGAAACGUGGUCUCGGACAGUGUCUGGUGGGUAGUUUGACUGGGGCGGUCUCCUCCCAAAGAGUAACGGAGGAGCACGAAGGUUUGCUAAUGACGGUCGGACAUCGUCAGGUUAGUGCAAUGGUAUAAGCAAGCUUAACUGCGAGACAGACAAGUCGAGCAGGUACGAAAGUAGGUCAUAGUGAUCCGGUGGUUCUGAAUGGAAGGGCCAUCGCUCAACGGAUAAAAGGUACUCCGGGGAUAACAGGCUGAUACCGCCCAAGAGUUCAUAUCGACGGCGGUGUUUGGCACCUCGAUGUCGGCUCAUCACAUCCUGGGGCUGAAGUAGGUCCCAAGGGUAUGGCUGUUCGCCAUUUAAAGUGGUACGCGAGCUGGGUUUAGAACGUCGUGAGACAGUUCGGUCCCUAUCUGCCGUGGGCGUUGGAGAAUUGAUUGGGGCUGCUCCUAGUACGAGAGGACCGGAGUGGACGCACCACUGGUGUUCCGGUUGUGUCGCCAGACGCAUUGCCGGGUAGCUAAGUGCGGAAGAGAUAAGUGCUGAAAGCAUCUAAGCACGAAACUUGCC
This 885-nucleotide ribosomal RNA is filed under the name human gut metagenome. Its description in RNAcentral is "bacterial LSU rRNA". It matches the Rfam family "Bacterial large subunit ribosomal RNA", at positions 1914 to 2798 of the family's 2925-position model. The record is from RNAcentral.